This 468-nucleotide ribosomal RNA is filed under the name uncultured bacterium. RNAcentral's name for it is "partial 16S ribosomal RNA". It matches the Rfam family "Bacterial small subunit ribosomal RNA", at positions 28 to 507 of the family's 1533-position model. The record is from RNAcentral.
GACGAACGCUGGCGGCGUGCUUAACACAUGCAAGUCGAACGGAAAGGCCCUGCUUUUGUGGGGUGCUCGAGUGGCGAACGGGUGAGUAACACGUGAGUAACCUGCCCUUGACUUUGGGAUAACUUCAGGAAACUGGGGCUAAUACCGGAUAGGAGCUCCUGCUGCAUGGUGGGGGUUGGAAAGUUUCGGCGGGUGGGGAUGGACUCGCGGCUUAUCAGCUUGUUGGUGGGGUAGUGGCUUACCAAGGCUUUGACGGGUAGCCGGCCUGAGAGGGUGACCGGCCACAUUGGGACUGAGAUCCGGCCCAGACUCCUACGGGAGGCAGCAGUGGGGAAUAUUGCACAAUGGGCGGAAGCCUGAUGCAGCAACGCCGCGUGCGGGAUGACGGCCUUCGGGUUGUAAACCGCUUUCGCCUGUGACGAAGCGUGAGUGACGGUAAUGGGUAAAGAAGCACCGGCUAACUACGUG